AAAGUCGUAACAAGGUUUCCGUAGGUGAACCUGCGGAAGGAUCAUUAACACGUUUCGUUCCGAACGUUUCUCGAUCAUUCUUUAUUUUCCGUGCACCACAUGCGUCCGGCCUCCCAGACCGCCCGCCGGGUUUACUCGGUGUCGGCCUGUUUGGGCGUUGACGGGGAUCCAAGGCGCUCGCUCGAUUGUGAUGAUACGUCGGAUCGAUCUUGCGAUGCACCUCCCUGUUGGCGUUGCCAUCAACCCAAACCCUUUAAUCUAACUGAUCUGAACUUUAGUUGGCAUCACUGCUAACGAUUUACAAAAUAAACAACAACUCUUAACAACGGAUAUCUUGGUUCUC
This 343-nucleotide unclassified non-coding RNA is filed under the name Basidiomycota sp. Its description in RNAcentral is "partial contains small subunit ribosomal RNA, internal transcribed spacer 1, and 5.8S ribosomal RNA". The stretch from base 1 to 47 matches the Rfam family "Eukaryotic small subunit ribosomal RNA", at positions 1785 to 1831 of the family's 1831-position model. The record is from RNAcentral. Lineage: Eukaryota; Fungi; Basidiomycota.